CAAUGCACAGGCAUACACACAUUUAGGGCUGAGCCCCACUGCACCCUUAGAGCUGCCCUCUGCCUCAGGAGGCCCUGGGUUCCUGAUGCUGCCAGGGAGAGCUGGAGGAGUAGAGAUGGUCCCAACUCCCUGCAGGAAGAGCAAAGAGCAAAGAGCGGCUGGUCUCUUUCUCCAACCAAAACCAUCUCCGGAUCUCCAGAAGCAGCCCAGCAGAGAGUCCCUCACCCCAGCUGGAGAGCAAAGCCACCAGCAACGAAACAGGCAAAUGAAAAUGGGCUCUGCCAGAGAAUUCUCCUCCUCUUAGCCCAUCCUUCACUGAGGUGCUCCCACCCUCUGGACCAGAAAGUGACUGUGUAAGAGGCAGGGAAAUAGUGGGGUGGACAGCUGAAACCUGCUACACCCUGAGGAAGAAAACCAUCUACGCAAGAAGUUUGGUGUCUGGAGCUAGGGGGCUUCCCACGUUCAGCUGGAAACAUACCGAGAUGUCAGGCCACUAGGGUGGAGUGUUCAGGGUCUGAGUCCAUUUUUAAGGAAGAGCAAGUGAUACUAAUUAUUCUUCUGGCUUCUUGGGGCCUGGCUCUCAGGCUCUCUCUCAGGGUAUUUCUGAUCCCUGUCUUGGAGAAAGAAUGCCCCUGUCACCUAAACUCUGUCUGCUAAGGGGCAGGAGUUUUAAUUGGUCAGCAGCACCCUCAUGUGGCAGAAACCAGGACUGCAGCUGCCCAAGUAGCCCAGCAACUUUGAGGUAUCAGACAUCCAGGUUGACAUUCAGUAGGCAGAAUUAUAAAUAUUGGUGCUCUCUGACUCAUCAAGGUACCCGUGCAUACUUACUGAUUGACCACUUCUGGGGACAUUUUAUGCUUUCCUAUCCUUCCAUCUACUGCAUCCUCUGACUCAAGGUAUAUGCCUAUCAGAGAAGGAGCACCUCACCCAGAGCUGACACUUAUUAGGGCUGCUGCUUGUGUUGUCUGGCUUGCAGGGGUGAAAGAGGCACUGCUGAGAGAGGAGGCCUAAGAGCAAAGGGUAAGCUGAUGUCAUAUCUGAUGGCAGAAGAGGCUCUGGCACCCUGCCAAUUUUCUACAAGUGCCAGACAAGAGUUACCACCUGAAUUCCAGAGACUAUCACCUAGUGGUGGGUUUCUGCUGUACAGAAAUCCAUUCUUACUCCCUAGGGAGGUCUGGGAAUGAACAGGGACAGAUUAUCAGAGCCUGAGAUCCUUGUCCUUGAGAAUAGACACCAGAUAAACACUUUUCCCUCAAAAGAUCCAGGUAUUCUCCAAGGAUGCCAGGCCACUGGGCAGAAUGUACAUCUGGGGCUUUAGACUUCUGGCCCCAAGAGAAAUGCUACCUGUCAUUGGACCCUUACCCUCCAUGUGAAAUCUCAUCUGUUUACUGGUCCCUUCUUCCCACACCCACUAAAUGGGGGAAAUGGUUCUGUACUGUAGAAAGGGCUGGAUAUUUAACAUCAGCAAGAUCUUGCUAAAGAUUAAAGCUGAAAGUCACAAGGCAGAGAACAUCAGAGAGAAAUACUCCCAGAGAGAAAUAUAACCCUGUUUGGGGUUGGUGGGUACAGAGAGGCAAACCUACCU
Acinonyx jubatus (cheetah) is the source of this 1585-nucleotide long non-coding RNA. RefSeq lists it as uncharacterized. Lineage: Eukaryota; Metazoa; Chordata; Mammalia; Carnivora; Felidae. The transcript has 3 exons. The record is from RefSeq and is a predicted model, not a curated record.